This 507-nucleotide ribosomal RNA is filed under the name Salmonella enterica subsp. enterica serovar Typhimurium. RNAcentral describes it as "partial 23S ribosomal RNA". It matches the Rfam family "Bacterial large subunit ribosomal RNA", at positions 850 to 1269 of the family's 2925-position model. The record is from RNAcentral. Lineage: Bacteria; Pseudomonadati; Pseudomonadota; Gammaproteobacteria; Enterobacterales; Enterobacteriaceae.
UGGUUCUCCCCGAAAGCUAUUUAGGUAGCGCCUCGUGAAUUCAUCUCCGGGGGUAGAGCACUGUUUCGGCUAGGGGGCCAUCCCGGCUUACCAACCCGAUGCAAACUGCGAAUACCGGAGAAUGUUAUCACGGGAGACACACGGCGGGUGCUAACGUCCGUCGUGAAGAGGGAAACAACCCAGACCGCCAGCUAAGGUCCCAAAGUCAUGGUUAAGUGGGAAACGAUGUGGGAAGGCCCAGACAGCCAGGAUGUUGGCUUAGAAGCAGCCAUCAUUUAAAGAAAGCGUAAUAGCUCACUGGUCGAGUCGGCCUGCGCGGAAGAUGUAACGGGGCUAAACCAUGCACCGAAGCUGCGGCAGCGAACGUAUCACCCAAGACAACUUUACGGAGUUGACGAUUGACGGAGCGAAGCGACGUCAAAGCGUUCAUUAAAGUCGAGUUGGCUUAGGGAUACGUUCGUUGGGUAGGGGAGCGUUCUGUAAGCCUGUGAAGGUGUGUCGUGAGGC